This is a long non-coding RNA of Amblyraja radiata (thorny skate), 137 nucleotides long. RefSeq lists it as uncharacterized. The record is from RefSeq and is a predicted model, not a curated record. NCBI's taxonomy places the organism in Eukaryota, Metazoa, Chordata, Chondrichthyes, Rajiformes, Rajidae. The transcript is spliced from 4 exons.
ACAGGAAAGAUCACAGGAAUAACUCCUCCAAUGUCUUCGAUGAUGGAGCUCCUGGAAAGGUGUGAUGAUUCACAGCUGCUGGAUUUGACAAAUCAUUACUGCCAGAGGCUGGAAGAGGGAAUUCAAGAGAAGCGGAG